AAUUAUAUCAUCAUGGGGACUUCAGUGUGUUUACACAGUCACGGUGUGGGGACCAAAAUCUUUGUGGGGACCAAAAUCAUGGUCCCCACAACGGAAACCAUGCUAAAUCAGCAGGAGAGAGCCUAUAUAAGGUCUGGAGUGACUAUCAGUGGUGGCCCAUAACUGAUGAUUUUUACCUGGAGUGUGUGUGUGGGAGAUGCUCUACAGCGACGCUAGCGGUCUAGACCAUGCUAUAGCAGGCGAGGAUUCAGACACACACACACGCUGUAAAUUUGCAUAGCGCGGUAACGUACACCUAAUUUGCAUACGGCGCGGGAAAACUUCUAGAGUGAAGACGACGCUGGAAAAGUAACUGGUAAGUUGGAGGCACUUUAUUUCGGUUUCUUAUUUUAUAUUUGCAUGUAAAUAAAUGCAGAUAUUGUAUAUACAAUUAAAUGCAGUAAGUUGUUUUUGGAGAACGUAAGUUUUCGACUACAUUUAAUGUGACAAAUAGUAUAUAAAGUAUGCAAAAAUAAUACCGAACUCGGAAUUUUGUGGUAUUUACGCGCAGUCCUCAGGAGUAGUCGUAUGGCCAAAAGUGAAUAAUUUUAAGUUUUUUCAGUCUCUCUAUAUUAACAAGUAGACAUGUGGCUAGUUAGAGUAUUUUAUUGGAUGUAGUUCUUUGUGUAGUUUGAUUAUUAUUACGCCUUCGAGUGCUUUGUAUCUUAAGUGCUAUCAUAAUGUUUGCUUUACGUCGACAGUAAGCUAAUGCAUUUCGCACGUAGGCUUAAAAUAGUCUACAAAAUACAUUCCUGUUAUUUUAACAUAUUCUUUAUUCUGAAAUAGCUUUGCGAAGUGUCCAGUUUAGUUAAAAUAGAUUUUGUUUGAUGUGUAUCUCGUUUUUAUAAAUGGAAAAACAGGACGUCGAGUAACCAGCUAUAAUAGCGCAUUUGUUUAGCUAGACUGCCAUUGUAGUAAUAUAACAAUAUAGAAAACUGGGUAAGUAAUGUCGUGAGGAUAGUAAAUGUAUUUUUUAUUUUAAAUUGUUCUGUUAACUAUCCGUCAUGAGUGUGAUAGAUACUAUGCAAUGAUUUCAAUUUAUCUUAUGAGGUUUAAUGAUUUUAACUAGUUUAAAAUUAAUUUGCUUUUGAAUUUGCAGAGCUCAAAAUGUCUCGACGAAUCAGUCCUCUAAAUGAUGCUAUUUCACAUGUCGCCACAAAGACAGACAAGAGUACAAAAUUAGAGAUCAAGUACAUAAGUCCGUUAAAAGGCCGUGGAGUGUUCACACUUGCUCCAUUCUUGCACGGGGACUUUAUUGUUGAAUAUAGAGGUGAAUUGAUUAAUUUUGCUGAGUCAAGCAGAAGAAGAGAAGUCUAUCACAAGUCCUGCACAGUCUUUAUGUUUGACUUUAAAUGGAGUAGUCGGACAUGGUGUAUUGAUGCUAGUAUAGAAGAUGGAUCGUUUGGCCGGCUAGUGAACGAUGACCAUCGAAACCCCAAUUGUCGAAUGAAAGUAAUUAAAGUGGAUGGAAAGCCACAUCUGUGUCUUUUUGCAUUAAGAGAUAUAAAAGAGGGAGAAGA
Long non-coding RNA from Brienomyrus brachyistius, 1559 nucleotides. RefSeq lists it as uncharacterized. Lineage: Eukaryota; Metazoa; Chordata; Actinopteri; Osteoglossiformes; Mormyridae. The record is from RefSeq and is a predicted model, not a curated record. The transcript is spliced from 3 exons.